GCAUAUCAAUAAGCGGAGGAAAAGAAACCAACAGGGAUUGCCUUAGUAACGGCGAGUGAAGCGGCAAAAGCUCAAAUUUGAAAUCUGGCACCUUCGGUGUCCGAGUUGUAAUUUGAAGAAGGAAGGUUUAUGGGUCUUGUCUAUGUUCCUUGGAAUAGGACGUCACAGAGGGUGAGAAUCCCGUGCGAUGAGAUUCCGUAUUGUAAUCUUCCUUCGAAGAGUCGAGUUGUUUGGGAAUGCAGCUCUAAGUGGGUGGUAAAUUCCAUCUAAAGCUAAAUAUUGGCGAGAGACCGAUAGCGAACAAGUACAGUGAUGGAAAGAUGAAAAGAACUUUGAAAAGAGAGUGAAAAAGUACGUGAAAUUGUUGAAAGGGAAGGAUUUGAGAUCAGACUUGGUAUUUUGCAACCUUACUCUCGUGGUGGGGCCCCUGCAGUUUACUGGGCCAGCAUCAGUUUGGAUGAUGGGAUAAGGACAUUGGAAUGUGACUCUGCCUCGGUGGAGUGUUAUAGCCUUUGUUGAUACCGUCUAUCUAGACUGAGGACUGCGUCUUUGACUAGGAUGUUGGCAUAAUGAUCUUAAAUCACCCCGUCUUGAAACACGGACC
This 604-nucleotide ribosomal RNA is filed under the name Priceomyces haplophilus. Its description in RNAcentral is "eukaryotic LSU rRNA". It matches the Rfam family "Eukaryotic large subunit ribosomal RNA", at positions 38 to 667 of the family's 3401-position model. Lineage: Eukaryota; Fungi; Ascomycota; Pichiomycetes; Serinales; Debaryomycetaceae. The record is from RNAcentral.